GAUGAACGCUAGCGGGAGGCCUAACACAUGCAAGCCGAGCGGUAGAGUUCCUUCGGGAACUUGAGAGCGGCGUACGGGUGCGUAACACGUGUGCAACCUACCUUUAUCUGGGGGAUAGCCUUUCGAAAGGAAGAUUAAUACCCCAUAAUAUAAUGAUUGGCAUCAAUUAUUAUUGAAAACUCCGGUGGAUAGAGAUGGGCACGCGCAAGAUUAGAUAGUUGGUGAGGUAACGGCUCACCAAGUCAAUGAUCUUUAGGGGUCCUGAGAGGGAGAUCCCCCACACUGGUACUGAGACACGGACCAGACUCCUACGGGAGGCAGCAGUGAGGAAUAUUGGACAAUGGGUGAAAGCCUGAUCCAGCCAUCCCGCGUGAAGGAUGACGGUCCUAUGGAUUGUAAACUUCUUUUGUACAGGGAUAAACCUACUCUCGUGAGGGUAGCUGAAGGUACUGUGCGAAUAAGCACCGGCUAACUCCGUG
This 479-nucleotide ribosomal RNA is filed under the name uncultured bacterium. RNAcentral describes it as "partial 16S ribosomal RNA". It matches the Rfam family "Bacterial small subunit ribosomal RNA", at positions 28 to 507 of the family's 1533-position model. The record is from RNAcentral.